Molecule: ribosomal RNA, 439 nt
Filed under: uncultured bacterium
Lineage: Bacteria
Description: partial 16S ribosomal RNA
Rfam family: Bacterial small subunit ribosomal RNA
Source: RNAcentral
CUACGGGCCGCUGCAGUGAGGAAUAUUGCACAAUGGGGGGAACCCUGAUGCAGCAACGCCGCGUGGAGGAUGACGCAUUUCGGUGUGUAAACUCCUUUUAUAUGUCAAGAAAAUGACGGUAGCAUAUGAAUAAGCACCGGCUAACUCCGUGCCAGCAGCCGCGGUAGUACGGAGGGUGCAAGCGUUACUCGGAAUCACUGGGCGUAAAGGACGCGUAGGCGGGGCGGAAAGUCAGGUGUGAAAUCCUACAGCUUAACUGUAGAACUGCACUUGAAACUUCUAAUCUAGAGUAUGGGAGGGGGAGAUGGAAUUAGUGGUGUAGGGGUAAAAUCCGUAGAUAUCACUAGGAAUACCUAAAGCGAAGGCGAUCUCCUGGAACAUUACUGACGCUAAGGCGUGAAAGCGUGGGGAGCAAACAGGAUUAGAUACCCCUGUAGUC